GGGGAUAUAGCUCAGUGACACAGCGCCUGCCUAACAAGCACAAGGUCCUGAGUUCAAUUCUCAGUACCA
This 69-nucleotide transfer RNA is filed under the name Cavia porcellus (domestic guinea pig). It matches the Rfam family "tRNA". Rfam says of the family: Transfer RNA (tRNA) molecules are approximately 80 nucleotides in length. Their secondary structure includes four short double-helical elements and three loops (D, anti-codon, and T loops). Lineage: Eukaryota; Metazoa; Chordata; Mammalia; Rodentia; Caviidae. The record is from Rfam by way of RNAcentral.